CCACAGGAAGCUGUCUGCACCAUGGCCUGGACCCCUCUCCUCCUCAUGCUCCUCUCCCACUGCACAGGUUCCCUCUCGCAGCCUGUGCUGACCCAGCCGCCCUCCCUCUCUGUGUCUCCGGGAGCCACAGCCAGACUCACCUGCACCCUCAGCAGUGGCUUCAGUGUUGGUGAUUACAGGAUACGCUGGUACCAGCAGAAGCCAGGGAGCUCUCCCCGGUAUCUGUUGAACUACUACUCAGACACAGACAAGCACCAGGGCUCCGGGGUCCCCAGCCGCUUCUCUGGGUCCAAAGACGCCUCGGCGAACGCAGGGCUCCUGACCAUCUCUGGGCUGCAGCCUGAGGACGAGGCCGACUAUUACUGUGGUACGUGGCACGGCAGCAGCAAUGCUUACACAGUGCUGCAGAGUCACGGAGAAGUGAGACUGAAACCCCCCUGUGCUCUGUCUGCCGGGGGCUGA
Molecule: non-coding RNA, 462 nt
Organism: Pteronotus mesoamericanus
Lineage: Eukaryota; Metazoa; Chordata; Mammalia; Chiroptera; Mormoopidae
Source: the annotation of a RefSeq genome assembly